Molecule: long non-coding RNA, 478 nt
Filed under: Monodelphis domestica (gray short-tailed opossum)
Lineage: Eukaryota; Metazoa; Chordata; Mammalia; Didelphimorphia; Didelphidae
Description: lncRNA (ENSMODG00000041017.1)
Source: RNAcentral
GGUCACUGAUCUGCGCUGCUGGAAAGACAGACCCAGAGGAAGUAUUUGUUCCUGAGUCGGGGAAGAGAAUUUUGCAGCUGGGAAAUAAGGAACUCUCUGGUUGAAUGAGGGGAAAAUGGAUUUCUUCAGAACAAUCAUCAAUAGAUGAGGAAACUGAGACAAACACAGUUUAGUGAAUGAUGAACAAGUUAAUAUACUUAAAUGAACUGAGUAUCAAUACUGACAUUCAUUAAUAUUGACAAUGACAGAGUGUAAAAGGAAGUUAGGGUUUAAUGGAAAGAUGGCUCAAAGUUGUUCCUUGGAGAGUGUUUAUGAUGAGGGUAAGCAAAAAGACCUCGAUGAAGAUGAAGAUUUCCUCUUGUUGCCAACAUCUGUUACAAAGGAUAAAGAAAUGGUAAAUUUGAAAAUCAGCAUAUACUUUGUCGAACUGCUACAAAUGGAAACUAGUGAUGGUUGUGGGGGAGGAAGAAGAGACUGA